This is a non-coding RNA of Marchantia polymorpha subsp. ruderalis, 205 nucleotides long. The record is from the annotation of a GenBank genome assembly. Lineage: Eukaryota; Viridiplantae; Streptophyta; Marchantiopsida; Marchantiales; Marchantiaceae.
GGAUGAAGCCGGACGCGAUGUUGGGUAGUGUUGAAUCGAUCGACUAUCUGUGAUGCAUGCACUGUCAAUGGUAAACCCCUAGCUGGGUUGAAUGUGAUUCCUCGGUUCUUAGCCGGAGUCCAGCUGAGGGUUUGUCAUUGACAGAGCCUACUUCAUAGGGAUGUUUUAGGCCUGCUGUGGAGAACGCGCUGUUUGAAUCACAUCC